This is a non-coding RNA of Glycine soja, 201 nucleotides long. NCBI's taxonomy places the organism in Eukaryota, Viridiplantae, Streptophyta, Magnoliopsida, Fabales, Fabaceae. The record is from Rfam.
ACUGUUUAUUAAAAACACAGGACUCUGUUAAGUGUAACAUGAUGUAUAGAGUUUGACACCUGCCCGUUGCUGGAAAGUCGGAAGGAGAAGUGUUAUGAGCUUUGAAUGGAAGCCCCGGUAAAUGGCAGCAGUUACUCUAACUUUUCUAAGGGCAUGUGAACUCCUCUAUGGAUCAAAUUUCAGCAUCUCAAAUAGGUAAAA